GAUGAACGCUGGCGGCGUGCCUAAUACAUGCAAGUCGAGCGAACAGAUGAGGAGCUUGCUCCUCUGACGUUAGCGGCGGACGGGUGAGUAACACGUGGAUAACCUACCUAUAAGACUGGGAUAACUUCGGGAAACCGGAGCUAAUACCGGAUAAUAUAUUGAACCGCAUGGUUCAAUAGUGAAAGACGGUUUUGCUGUCACUUAUAGAUGGAUCCGCGCCGCAUUAGCUAGUUGGUAAGGUAACGGCUUACCAAGGCAACGAUGCGUAGCCGACCUGAGAGAGUGAUAGGCCACACUGGAACUGAGACACGGUCCAGACUCCUACGGGAGGCAGCAGUAGGGAAUCUUCCGCAAUGGGCGAAAGCCUGACGGAGCAACGCCGCGUGAGUGAUGAAGGUCUUCGGAUCGUAAAACUCUGUUAUUAGGGAAGAACAAAUGUGUAAGUAACUAUGCACGUCUUGACGGUACCUAAUCAGAAAGCCACGGCUAACUACGUG
RNAcentral lists this ribosomal RNA (497 nucleotides) under uncultured bacterium. RNAcentral's name for it is "partial 16S ribosomal RNA". It matches the Rfam family "Bacterial small subunit ribosomal RNA", at positions 28 to 507 of the family's 1533-position model. The record is from RNAcentral.